This is a non-coding RNA of Pteropus alecto (black flying fox), 85 nucleotides long. The record is from Rfam. Lineage: Eukaryota; Metazoa; Chordata; Mammalia; Chiroptera; Pteropodidae.
UCUAUAUCACACACAAAUUUUGGGAGAGGUCAAUCAAAGAAGAUAGGUUAUUCUUCAAUAUCAGCUCUUUCCUGAUGGCUAAAAU